AUUUAUAUAAUUUAAAAAAAAUAUUACAUUUUCAUUGUAAAAUUAAAAUAUUAAUUUUUAUAAAUA
Molecule: transfer RNA, 66 nt
Filed under: Trichosia splendens
Lineage: Eukaryota; Metazoa; Arthropoda; Insecta; Diptera; Sciaridae
Description: tRNA-Glu
Source: RNAcentral